AUUGAACGCUGGCGGCAGGCCUAACACACGCAAGUCGGACGGUAGCACAGAGGAGCUUGCUCCUUGGGUGACGAGUGGCGGACGGGUGAGUAAUGUCUGGGGAUCUGCCCGAUAGAGGGGGAUAACCACUGGAAACGGUGGCUAAUACCGCAUAACGUCGCAAGACCAAAGAGGGGGACCUUCGGGCCUCUCACUAUCGGAUGAACCCAGAUGGGAUUAGCUAGUAGGCGGGGUAAUGGCCCACCUAGGCGACGAUCCCUGGCUGGUCUGAGAGGAGGACCAGCCACACUGGAACUGAGACACGGUCCAGACUCCUACGGGAGGCAGCAGUGGGGAAUAUUGCACAAUGGGCGCAAGCCUGAUGCAGCCAUGCCGCGUGUAUGAAGAAGGCCUUCGGGUUGUAAAGUACUUUCAGCGGGGAGGAAGGCGGUGAGGUUAAUAACCUUGCCGAUUGACGUUACCCGCAGAAGAAGCACCGGCUAACUCCGUGCCAGCAGCCGCCGUAA
This 506-nucleotide ribosomal RNA is filed under the name uncultured bacterium. RNAcentral describes it as "partial 16S ribosomal RNA". It matches the Rfam family "Bacterial small subunit ribosomal RNA", at positions 29 to 523 of the family's 1533-position model. The record is from RNAcentral.